RNAcentral lists this ribosomal RNA (253 nucleotides) under uncultured bacterium. RNAcentral describes it as "partial 16S ribosomal RNA". It matches the Rfam family "Bacterial small subunit ribosomal RNA", at positions 524 to 776 of the family's 1533-position model. The record is from RNAcentral.
UACGUAGGUGGCAAGCGUUGUCCGGAUUUACUGGGCGUAAAGAGCGCGCAGGCGGUCGUUCAAGUCGCGUGUGAAAGCCCCCGGCUCAACUGGGGAGGGUCACGCGAUACUGAUCGACUCGAAGGCAGGAGAGGGUAGUGGAAUUCCCGGUGUAGUGGUGAAAUGCGUAGAUAUCCGGAGGAACACCAGUGGCGAAAGCGGCCACCUGGACUGUACCUGACGCUGACACGCGAAAGCUAGGGGAGCGAACGGG